Molecule: long non-coding RNA, 3623 nt
Organism: Panthera uncia (snow leopard)
Lineage: Eukaryota; Metazoa; Chordata; Mammalia; Carnivora; Felidae
Exons: 7
Source: RefSeq, a predicted model, not a curated record
CCAAAGGAAAUGAAGACAUAGUUUGUUACAAGAAGAAGGAAGUUGAAAUGGGAAGGAGGUUGUUGUGAGUGAGCUAUGGAGUCUGUAUGAAGAAGACUUUCUGAGCAUAAAUUCCUGAGAAGUUGGGGAGGAUGGGCUUCUGAAUACAGAUGGGUGAAGUGGAUUGGGUAAGAAGAGAGACACCAGGUCUAAUGUUGCCUAAAAGAGGAGGGAGAGAUGCCUAAGACCAGAACUCAGAGGAACUGAAUAUAAAAUAGUCCUGGAAACAGAUUGUUUGGUCUGAGUAUAUCAUUGAAGACCAUUUCAAAUCAGAUUUUUUCAGGGCAACUCCUCACUCCACGCUCCCAGUUAUGUCUCCAGAGGGUCUGGGAGUUAGGGGGAAAGGGCUGCUUGAAGACAUUCCACAAGUAAUCCUGCAAUGGCCAAGAGGAGAGACAAUUUCACACCUGCCUCUUCAAGUUGACUUUGGACUCCCAUACCUUUUUCCAUUUGGAAUCGCGUCAAUCAGUUUUACAGCUGAAGGCAGUGACGUGCUGACAGAAGGUGAAUGCUACGCGAUCUGCUUUAUGAUUACAUUUGCUGUUUACUGCUCUAAAAGUUUGGAGAAAUUAUUUUCUUUUCAAACUGGGAAUGAAAGCUUCAUAAAUAUUAAUCUCAGUUAAUAAUAUUGUGGGAACCCUGGAUGCCAGAGGUAAGUAGCACUCAGUUCAUGACAGCUUGACAAGGGACCAGUUUUCUUAUUUGGGGAUGUGAGUCUGUCCUUGAUGUUUAUAAACUGGUUCUUGGAACUUCCUUUCUUCUCAUGACACCAUGAACCAAAAUGUAGUGAUUUGCCUUUUUCCGUCUCAUCCAUGAGAUGUGUUGUCUUUUUUUUCUUUCUUUUUUUGGCCUUUUCUUUUCUUCCAAUAAUUUUCCUUCUGUUUCUUAAUUAUUUGGUUCCCACCUCUGUUUAUAGAUUAUAUUCCAUCCACUUUAGAGUCCAUACUAUAAAAAUACCCAAAGUUUCAUUUUUGUGUCUGAAGGACACAGUGUUAAAUCUCCAAAUACAAAUAUAUAUUACCUGAGUAGCUAUUGUUACCUGACACCAUUGUCAGAACAGAAUUCAUUUAUGUCUGUCCAAAUCAGCUUUCUUGAUGUUUUUAUAUCAUCACAGUUCUAAACAUAGAUGCAAAAUCUCCAUAUCUUCUAGGUUUAAAAUUUCCUAUUUUUCUUCAUCUAAUUCAAUCAAUUAUUGGUUCUUAUUUUUUGCUUAUAAUGCUCUUAAAAUUUCUUUUUCCUAGAAUGGUUGAAGAAUUAUAUUUAAAAACUGGGAAUAUUAACAUCUUGAACUUAUGCUUAAAUGAUAUAAUGGCCAGCCUCCAAGAUGGCUCCCAAUGCUAUCCACAUCUUAUGUUCAUGUCCUUAUGUGAUUUGUUUCCACGUUUCAUUAGGCUAAGUUUGAGUGGUAAAUAGAACUCAGCAGAAUUGAUUGUGUGUCACUUCUGAGAUUCUGUCAUAAAAGACACUACAGUUUCCAUCCUGGCCAUGCCUUUUCUCAUGCCUUUUCCUCUUGAUUCAUUUCCACCAUGAGAUAAGAAACUCUACAGAGAAGUCCAUGUGGCAACUGGACUGAGACUACUGUCCAAAGCCAGUGGAAACUGAGACCUACUGCCGGCAGUCAAGUGAGUUUGGAAGUAAAUCCCUCACCCUCACGUAAGUCUUUUGGUAACUAUAGCCCUAGUAGACAGCUUGUUCACAGCCUUAUUUGAGACUCACCUCAGAGACACGUAGCUAAGCUUCUUCCAAAUUCCUGACCUGUAGAAACUGUGUGAGAUAAUAAAUGUUGGCUUAAGCUAAGUUUUGGGGUUAAAUUGUUAUGUAUCAAUAGAUAACUAAUAAAUGACUUUCUAAUAUAAAAAUAAUAUUUAUAUGAUUCAUUGUCUUGAAACAAUCAAAGAAGUUAGAGGGGUCCAGCAGAACUCUGCUGAAGUCAUACAGUCUUGAGGAGAAGAGUCUGCCCCCUGAAUGGGGAGAGGGGUCAGUGGCCCUGGCAUGGACAAUCUCUACUCUUGAGACGCUAUCAGAAAACAUAAAGGAUUAGAGUCAGAAGAGAUGUUAAGAGUUAUCUAAGUUUACCCAAAGCAACCAUCUCCCCUGUAGCCUUUUGAAAAGUGACUGAAAGGAUCUGUAAGGAAGAGAUUUACCUAGGAUUUUUGAAAGUUAUGUGGUAGCUGUGGGAGGAUUCAAGUAGCAGCUCAAGCUCUGAUGAGAAAGACGAAGUAGUUGCUUCUUUACCUUUUCAUCACAAUUAUAAAACAUUAACUGACAACCUAUACAUAUCUAGAUGAUAGAUCUGGCAAAGCUACUAGCACAUUGUGUAGAAUAGCUGGUGUACAGAAUGUUUUUCUUCUAAAACAAAGUAUUCUUGCAGUGUUUCAUGUUCAAGAAUAUAUUCAUCAAACUCCAAGAGUUUUGGCCAGACUUCAGAUAACAGCCAAUGAGUCACUUUAAAGGAUGUCAAUGGAAAGUCCCAGGAGAUCAUCUUAGAAAGAACAGAGUACUCUUGUACAACUUCUGGGUACCAAGGAAACAGACUUUCUUGCACAACCUCUGAGCACCGAGAUGAUGCUGUAGCUGGUGUUAAGUCUGCAGGAAAUGAAGAAAUGUCACAGAUCACUACACUCCCUUAACCGAUUGAACACCUUUAAAAAUCUCUGGGCCAGGCAGAAACCUGAGAGUUGGCCUUUGGACAAGAGCCCAACUUCUCCCCAGAUGAAGUCUCAGCUUCCAGAAUAAAACUCAUAUUCUUUCCCAAUCAAAACUCAUCUCUUGAGUAUUGGCCUUUCCAGCGAGAGGCAGACGAACUUGGGUUUUGGUAACAAGAACACUUAGGUUAACCUACAAUUGGACAAAAUCAUCUAACACAAAGCUUAUUUUAUAAUAAACUGCUGAAUAUCUUAUGUAACCUUUUGAAUACUGUACUGAAAGUAAGUAAGAAAUGGAAUGGUUGUAUGGGUAUGGAAAGGUUGUAAGUGUAUUGGUUGCUUUACCCUCAUGAUCAAGUGGCUAACAGAGUGCAGCUCGCCCGCUGCUGCCCAGCAUCUGGAAGAGUAUUUCACUGCCUUAUCACCAGCCCAGGAAAAGAUCAAAAUUAAAAUUUUAAGUACUGUUUCUAACUGAAUGUGUAUUGCUUUCACACCAUCAUAAAGUCAAAAAGUUAAAAGUUUGAACCAUUGUUAAGUCGGGAACCAUCUGUAUGUGUAGUUUGUUUUUGGUUUAAAAAAAUAUUACAGGAGUGCCUGGGUGGCUUAGUUGACUGAGCAUCUGACUCUUGAUUUUGGCUCAGGUCAUGAUCUCAGGGUCUUGGAAAUGAGCCCCGGAUCAAGCUCUGUAUGGAGUCUGCAUUCUCUCUCUCUCUCAAAAAUAAAAACAAAAAUUCAAAUUCAAAUUAAAAAAAAAUUAGAACCCUAGACUGCUAAUUGGGGAUGAUGAAACAUUCCAGAAUUAGAUAAUAGUAAUAUCUACACUAUUCUGCGAAUAUACUAAAAACCACUAAAUUAUAUUAUGAGGAUGAAUUUUCAGGUAGGAGAAUUAAUCUUUAUAUAAAGCUUUUAUUUAAAAUUUGAAGAAUUUUUAAUGUUAUU